RNAcentral lists this ribosomal RNA (321 nucleotides) under Triticum aestivum (bread wheat). Its description in RNAcentral is "partial small subunit ribosomal RNA". The record is from RNAcentral. Lineage: Eukaryota; Viridiplantae; Streptophyta; Magnoliopsida; Poales; Poaceae.
AUGGAGGAUUCGCAGACGGCAGCGGCGGUGCUUGAGGAGCCGGCGCCGGCGCCGGCGCCGGAGCGCGAGGUGAUCGACGGCAAGAGGAUGGUGUGGAGGAAGCUGCCCAUGGAAAAGGUGCAGCGCGUGCUCUCCGCCGCCUCCCCGAUCAGGAUCCCGACGGGCCCCGUCAUCGACCCCAUGAUCCUCGAGUCGCGGAAGAAGUUGAUGCUCAUCCUCGAGUUCAUCCGGCAGCGCCAGGAGGCCACGCGGGAGGAGCUCUGCACCAAGGGCUACGUCAUGGGCUGGGUCACCGACGACGACGACGACGAGGAGGAGUAG